RNAcentral lists this ribosomal RNA (198 nucleotides) under Balneolaceae bacterium. RNAcentral's name for it is "partial 16S ribosomal RNA". It matches the Rfam family "Bacterial small subunit ribosomal RNA", at positions 1328 to 1533 of the family's 1533-position model. The record is from RNAcentral. Lineage: Bacteria; Pseudomonadati; Balneolota; Balneolia; Balneolales; Balneolaceae.
GGAAUCGCUAGUAAUCGCACAUCAGCCAUGGUGCGGUGAAUACGUUCCCGGGCCUUGUACACACCGCCCGUCAAGCCAUGGAAGCUGGGGGUGCCUGAAGUCCGUAGCCGAAAGGAGCGGCCUAGGGUAAAACCGGUAACUGGGGCUAAGUCGUAACAAGGUAGCCGUACCGGAAGGUGCGGCUGGAAUAUCUCCUUU